This 105-nucleotide ribosomal RNA is filed under the name Chelonia mydas (Green sea turtle). The record is from RNAcentral. Lineage: Eukaryota; Metazoa; Chordata; Testudines; Cheloniidae.
GUCUACGGUCAUACCACCCUGAACUCACCCAAUCUCGUCUGAUCUUGGAAACUAAGCAGGGUCAGGCCUGGUUAGUACUUGGAUGGGUAAUGGGUGCUGUAGGCG